GACAGAGGGGGCAAGCGUUGCUCGGAAUCACUGGGCGUAAAGGGCGCGUAGGCGGGAUGGCAAGUCAGUCGUGAAAUCUCUCGGCUCAACCGAGAAACGUCGGCUGAUACUGCCGUUCUUGAGGGAUGCAGAGGAGACUGGAAUUCCCGGUGUAGCGGUGAAAUGUGUAGAGAUCGGGAGGAACACCGGUGGCGAAGGCGGGUCUCUAGUACGGUACUGACGCUGAGACGCGAAAGCGUGGGGAGCGAACAGG
This 253-nucleotide ribosomal RNA is filed under the name uncultured bacterium. Its description in RNAcentral is "partial 16S ribosomal RNA". It matches the Rfam family "Bacterial small subunit ribosomal RNA", at positions 524 to 776 of the family's 1533-position model. The record is from RNAcentral.